This 254-nucleotide ribosomal RNA is filed under the name uncultured bacterium. Its description in RNAcentral is "partial 16S ribosomal RNA". It matches the Rfam family "Bacterial small subunit ribosomal RNA", at positions 524 to 776 of the family's 1533-position model. The record is from RNAcentral.
UACGGGGGGAGCAAGCGUUGUUCGGAUUUACUGGGCGUAAAGGGCGCGUAGGCGGUCGUGACAAGUCAGUUGUGAAAUCUCCGGGCUUAACUCGGAAAGGUCAACUGAUACUGUGCGACUAGAGUGCAGAAGGGGCAACUGGAAUUCUCGGUGUAGCGGUGAAAUGCGUAGAUAUCGAGAGGAACACCUGCGGCGAAGGCGGGUUGCUGGGCUGACACUGACGCUGAUGCGCGAAAGCCAGGGGAGCGAACGGG